Molecule: ribosomal RNA, 515 nt
Filed under: uncultured bacterium
Lineage: Bacteria
Description: partial 16S ribosomal RNA
Rfam family: Bacterial small subunit ribosomal RNA
Source: RNAcentral
GAUGAACGCUGGCGGCGUGCCUAAUACAUGCAAGUCGAGCGAAUGGAUUAAGAGCUUGCUCUUAUGAAGUUAGCGGCGGACGGGUGAGUAACACGUGGGUAACCUGCCCAUAAGACUGGGAUAACUCCGGGAAACCGGGGCUAAUACCGGAUAACAUUUUGAACCGCAUGGUUCGAAAUUGAAAGGCGGCUUCGGCUGUCACUUAUGGAUGGACCCGCGUCGCAUUAGCUAGUUGGUGAGGUAACGGCUCACCAAGGCAACGAUGCGGAGCCGACCUGUGAGGGUGAUCGGCCACACUGGGACUGAGACACGGCCGAGACUCCUACGGGAGGCAGCAGUAGGGAAUCUUCCGCAAUGGACGAAAGUCUGACGGAGCAACGCCGCGUGAGUGAUGAAGGCUUUCGGGUCGUAAAACUCUGUUGUUAGGGAAGAACAAGUGCUAGUUGAAUAAGCUGGCACCUUGACGGUACCUAACCAGAAAGCCACGGCUAACUACGUGCCAGCCGCCGCCGUAA